UCAGGAUGAACGCUAGCGACAGGCUUAACACAUGCAAGUCGAGGGGCAUCACGGGAGUAGCAAUACAACGUGGUGGGCGACCGGCGCGACGGGUGAGUAACGCGUAUGCAACCUACCUAUCAGAGGGGAAUAACCCGGCGAAAGUCGGACUAAUACCGCAUAAACAGGGGCACCGCAUGGUGAUAUUUGUUAAAGAAAUUCGCUGAUAGAUGGGCAUGCGUUCCAUUAGGUAGUUGGUGAGGUAACGGCUCACCAAGCCGACGAUGGAUAGGGAACUGAGAGGUUGGUCCCCCACACUGGUACUGAGACACGGACCAGACUCCUACGGGAGGCAGCAGUGAGGAAUAUUGGUCAAUGGGCGGGAGCCUGAACCAGCCAAGUCGCGUGAAGGAAGAAGGAUCUAUGGUUCGUAAACUUCUUUUGCAGGGGAAUAAAGUGCAGGACGUGUCCUGUUUUGUAUGUACCCUGAGAAUAAGGAUCGGCUAACUCCGUGCCAGCCGCCGC
This 504-nucleotide ribosomal RNA is filed under the name uncultured bacterium. RNAcentral's name for it is "bacterial SSU rRNA". It matches the Rfam family "Bacterial small subunit ribosomal RNA", at positions 24 to 518 of the family's 1533-position model. The record is from RNAcentral.